This 440-nucleotide ribosomal RNA is filed under the name uncultured bacterium. Its description in RNAcentral is "partial 16S ribosomal RNA". It matches the Rfam family "Bacterial small subunit ribosomal RNA", at positions 338 to 795 of the family's 1533-position model. The record is from RNAcentral.
CCUACGGGAGGCAGCAGUGGGGGAUAUUGCACAAUGGGGGAAACCCUGAUGCAGCGACGCCGCGUGUGGGAAGACGGUCCUCUGGAUUGUAAACCACUGUCCCAAGGGACGAAAAUGACGGUACCUGGGGAGGAAGCUCCGGCUAACUACGUGCCAGCAGCCGCGGUAAUACGUAGGGAGCGAGCGUUGUCCGGAAAUACUGGGUGAAAAGGGAGCGUAGGCGGGGAUGCAAGUUGGGUGUCAAACCUACCGGCUCAACUGGUAGUCGCACUCAAAACUGCAGCUCUUGAGGAAAGUAGAGGCAGGCGGAAGUCCUAGUGUAGCGGUGAAAUGCGUAGAUAUUAGGAGGAACACCAGUGGCGAAGGCGGCCUGCUGGGCUUUUACUGACGCUGAGGCUCGAAAGUGUGGGGAGCAAACAGGAUUAGAUACCCGGGUAGUC